GACGUAGGAUGCGAGCGUUAUCCGGAAUUAUUGGGCGUAAAGAGUUCGUAGGUGGUUUGUUAAGUAGGAUGUUAAAUCUUUGAGCUCAACUCAAAAUUGGUAUCCUAAACUGGCAGGCUAGAGACAGGUAGAGGUAGAUAGAAUUCUGUAUGUAGGGGUAAUAUCCGUAGAUAUACAGAGGAAUACCAAAAGCGAAGGCAGUCUACUGGACCUGUUCUGACACUCAAGAACGAAAGCGUGGGGAGCAAACGGG
RNAcentral lists this ribosomal RNA (253 nucleotides) under uncultured bacterium. Its description in RNAcentral is "partial 16S ribosomal RNA". It matches the Rfam family "Bacterial small subunit ribosomal RNA", at positions 524 to 776 of the family's 1533-position model. The record is from RNAcentral.